This 481-nucleotide ribosomal RNA is filed under the name uncultured bacterium. Its description in RNAcentral is "bacterial SSU rRNA". It matches the Rfam family "Bacterial small subunit ribosomal RNA", at positions 329 to 803 of the family's 1533-position model. The record is from RNAcentral.
UGGCUAACUCCUACGGGAGGCAGCAGUGGGGAAUUUUGGACAAUGGGCGCAAGCCUGAUCCAGCCAUUCCGCGUGCAGGAUGAAGGCCCUCGGGUUGUAAACUGCUUUUGUACGGAACGAAAAGGCUCUGGUUAAUACCCGGGGCUCAUGACGGUACCGUAAGAAUAAGCACCGGCUAACUACGUGCCAGCAGCCGCGGUAAUACGUAGGGUGCGAGCGUUAAUCGGAAUUACUGGGCGUAAAGCGUGCGCAGGCGGUUUUGUAAGACAGGUGUGAAAUCCCCGGGCUUAACCUGGGAACUGCAUUUGUGUCUGCAAGGCUGGAGUGCGGCAGAGGGGGAUGGAAUUCCGCGUGUAGCAGUGAAAUGCGUAGAUAUGCGGAGGAACACCGAUGGCGAAGGCAAUCCCCUGGGCCUGCACUGACGCUCAUGCACGAAAGCGUGGGGAGCAAACAGGAUUAGAAACCCCAGUAGUCCAGCUGG